This 406-nucleotide ribosomal RNA is filed under the name uncultured bacterium. RNAcentral describes it as "bacterial SSU rRNA". It matches the Rfam family "Bacterial small subunit ribosomal RNA", at positions 370 to 772 of the family's 1533-position model. The record is from RNAcentral.
AAUGGGCGGAAGCCUGAUCCAGCCAUGCCGCGUGAAGGAAGAAUGCGCUCAGCGUUGUAAACUUCUUUUGAAUGGGAACAAUAAUCCCGACGUGUCGGGACUUGAGGGUACCAUUAGAAUAAGCACCGGCUAACUCCGUGCCAGCAGCCGCGGUAAUACGGAGGGUGCAAGCGUUAUCCGGAAUCACUGGGUUUAAAGGGUGCGUAGGCGGUUUGAUAAGUCAGUUGUGAAAUUCACCGGCUUAACCGGUAGAACUGCGAUUGAUACUGUCAGACUUGAAUCAGGUUGAGGUAGGCGGAAUGUGGCAUGUAGCGGUGAAAUGCAUAGAUAUGCCAUAGAACACCGAUUGCGAAGGCAGCUUGCUGGACCUAGAUUGACGCUGAGGCACGAAAGCGUGGGGAGCAAA